GACUCGUCACACUAUCAUUAACUGAAUCCAUAGGUUAAUGAGGCGAACCGGGGGAACUGAAACAUCUAAGUACCCCGAGGAAAAGAAAUCAACCGAGAUUCCCCCAGUAGCGGCGAGCGAACGGGGAGGAGCCCAGAGCCUGAAUCAGCAUGUGUGUUAGUGGAAGCGUCUGGAAAGGCGCGCGAUACAGGGUGACAGCCCCGUACACAAAAGCGCAU
This 218-nucleotide ribosomal RNA is filed under the name Salmonella enterica subsp. enterica serovar Chester. RNAcentral's name for it is "partial 23S ribosomal RNA". It matches the Rfam family "Bacterial large subunit ribosomal RNA", at positions 137 to 390 of the family's 2925-position model. The record is from RNAcentral. Lineage: Bacteria; Pseudomonadati; Pseudomonadota; Gammaproteobacteria; Enterobacterales; Enterobacteriaceae. RNAcentral also lists the same sequence under 2 other names.